Motacilla alba alba is the source of this 8639-nucleotide RNA transcript. It is a transcript of the gene named family with sequence similarity 214 member A, with no coding region annotated. The record is from RefSeq and is a predicted model, not a curated record. Lineage: Eukaryota; Metazoa; Chordata; Aves; Passeriformes; Motacillidae. The transcript is spliced from 12 exons.
UAAAUGUCUAUGAUGGCUGCUUGCCAUAUCUUCUGUGUUUACAGAGAGUGAAGUUGUAAUAUGUUGAGCUUAUGCUUUUUUUAAUGUGCAGUUUUCUGUAAAGUCACAAGUACUGGUACAUUUCCUUUGCAUGUUAGAUAUGAAUCUUCAAGACUUCUCUUCAAGACUUGUUCUUUAUUUUAAAAAUUUUCAUUAAGUAGGUGAAUUUGAGGGUAGGGGGAGAAAAGAAUAGUUGCACCAAAAAGGGAAGAGCUUCAGUAAAUAUUACAGUGAUGUGGAAUAAAAGAGGAGGAGUUUCCUAUCAAUAGAAAUGAACAGGGACAAAAUUGUGAAGGUCAGCACGGACUGGGAAUGCAGUUAGGUCAAAGGGAUUGAUACCAACACUCAUGCUGCUCAAAGGUAAACCCUUUUUUCUCUGCUGUAAAUGUCUUUAAAAUUGAGCUUCAAGUAUAUUUUCUAUAUAUAGAAUGCUUUCCUACUUCAGUUACCUUUUAGUGAAAAGUAUGACUUUGCUUUGUUUUAAUCUGAGGGGGAAACAGCUUCUUCCUUUUGAAGCACAUGCUAUUUGGAUCGCCAGAGGAAUUUUGUUUACCGUGGGGAAACCAUGAGAAACGAAGUAUCUGGAGAGCUAGAAUUGGAGGAUAGGCCUUGAGUAAUGAUUGCUACCAUAGCUGUACCAGCAGUAGUACUCAUGGUGUAACUGCCUACACCAUGCUAACCCAAGCAAGGUUAGCAAGGAGGACUCCUCUGAGGAGUCUGCUGGUAGAAAGUGGAGGAGCAAAACCAAAUAGCUGGGUUAUGCAUGGGAGACAGGAGGAAUAGCUGAUAAUACUGGAAAUGUCUGAAGGCAAAGUUCAGUGUAAAACUGCUGGAAUGCACACCUGGCUCACCUUGCACCAAGCACUGAGGCCAGUCAUGACUGGCUGUUACUGUGCUGCCUCUGGAUGUUUGCUCUGAGAGCCUCACCGAAUUAACAACUUUCUACGAGAAAGUAUUUUGGAUCCACUAGAGAUUAAAGUUACGGUGCUUGAUAUGCAUUGUAUGUUCUUUCAUCCCAUCCUCUUGUUGAGAAGAUGUAGUGGCCUUUUAUAAAUGUUUUAGGACACUUUUUGUAAGCUGGUGAAAUUCAUUCUUGUGUAAGUUUCUAGUAUGAAAUCUGAGCAGCUUUAUGUUACACACUGAUUUUUAUUUUAUUUGGUUUUACUUUUUGUUUGUUUGAUUUAAAAAUCAUAGUGGGACUGUUCGCAUCUGAUGCUUUCAGCUUCUCUAGGUGUACUGUGGACUGUGUUUAGCCUUUCUCAUUCAAGAAGUUUGAGUUUGAACAUCAGUAAAAGGAAAACUAUACACAGAGUGUAAGUGGUGUAUCUAACCAUCUCUUUAACAUGCAUUGCAAGCAUCAAGAACUGACCUCAGCUUUGUUCUGAGGAAUUGAGCAUCUGUACUGGGAGAAGGGGAAUAAGGCAGUCUACAUGAGAGCACUUGGUGGUUUUGUGUUCUGCAAAUUAGUACCUCGAUCCAAAAUGUUUGUUUCAAGGAAGGGAUGUGUUAGUAGAAGUGUAUUUUUAUUUUUAGCUUGUCUCCAUGACUAGGCUGUAUAAACAUAACGUGCUAUGGAGUCACUUAUGCUUUGCUUCUUAGGGGUCACAUGCACACCUUGCUUUUCCUGCACAAGGCAGGGCUGGAACCUGAAUUAGAGUGUUUUUCUGACCUGGCUCAUUACUAAACAUUCUGUACUUUGGCAUGGUCCUUCAAAGGUUGAAGUUGAGUGUUUUUUAUAAUGUAGGGAUGAUGCCAAUUAUGUCUAUUGGCAAGUGCCUCUGAAUUGAUGUGUAAUUUACUUGAUACUGAGAUGAACCAUACUUGGCUCUGAUUUCCUGCUUUAUGGAAUGUGUAGGGCUGCUUACUCCCAAAGUGUUGGGAUAAAAUCCAUAGUUAUGAAGACCUCACCUUUUUCAUUUUUGGAAGUGUUAUUUUAUUUCUGGCAGAAGGUGGGUUAUAGUACAGUCUGGUUAUCUUGAUUAUUGCUUGUCAUUUUGCAGAGUGUUAGAACUGGGAGCAUAGCAAUAGUAUUUGAAGUGUAUGAAAUUUAUGAUGGUAAAGUAUGCAGCCUAGGAUAAAGUCCCGUGUGCUGCCAUAUUCUCAUGUAAAGUAUCUUGUGCCUCUGGAAUUUGUGGGAGCAUGAGAGAUCCAGUAAAUGAGUAAUGUCCUUUAAGGUAGGUUUUGUUUUGGUAGAAUUUCUCAUAUUGCAGUUUAUAAAUUUAGCAUGUUAUUAGACCGGAUGCAUUCACUUCUGGGGUGUUCGUCCACAAACAGGCACAGAGCUCAGCUCAGUGUACCUACAGCUGGUUUAGGACUGUAAGCUUAAAAGCUGGAGUGUCAACAACCUGUCCUACUUUUACUUGAAGAACAUCUGGUGUGAAAAGGAUCUUUGUGGUUGUGCUGCAGUAGUGCAGUAUGGGGAGACUGUUCAGGAGCAGUAUGGUGGGUAGGUAUGCCUGUCAUCUAGAGACAGCUGCUCAUCACUAAAAAUUUGUUAGUUGCCUGUAAAAACAGCUGGUGGUUCUUGAAUGCUGUCUCUGCUGGCCCCUGUGGGAAUUGACUUGGGUGUUGUUGCUCCUGCCUCUUGUUAGCAAAACUUCUAAACAUACCACGUUUACUAAUGUGAUAAAUAUUCCACUCACCCCUCCCAUUCCUCCUGUAGAUAUUGAAUCACUGCUUUAUAGAAAAUCAUCUGAGCACUUUUCUCAAACGCUAGAUAGUUGCUUGAUUAAGAAAACAUGAAAUUGCUUUUUCAGACAACUGUGUGAACGACAGUGUUUUUGUAGAAGUAAAUGUUCCAUGAAGGAAAAAUACUUGGAAAGCAAACAGGUAAAAUAUACAGGAAGCUUGAAUGUCAGUGACUAAUGAAAUGGCAGGUUUUGCAUCUAACUCUCUGUAAGGCACUAUCUGUAUGUGAGAUCUUUAAAUGGGCCAACUACUAAAAGGUAUCUGACCUUCCUCAGAUAAAAUGUCUGCUUAAAAAUCUUGUAUAGACUGUGUUUUCUUGCAACCACAGCUAAAUUAUACUGGUAUAUAAACUGUGAGUGGGGAAAAGUAAUUUUGUGAAGUGGCAUGUUUUCCAUGCUCUUGAAUGGGUUAGUGAGUGGUACUGGAUUUUGAAUGUGGUUGUGUAGUCUAGUUUGAUCCGGACUUUUCAUAGUUUCAUGGUAUCUAAUUACAGAACAAGGGUUUUAGUCUUGCUUUGUGAUGUGGUUAGGCUGAGAGUGAGAUAGGUUUUUUGCACUGAUUAUGUUAAUAUGGUACCGUCAUCUGACUUUAAUACUUGUAAAUACGUCAGAACUGGAUGAAAUUGUUUAACGUAGCCAGUACGUUGUUUAGACUAUAUCUAAAAUAGUACAUGCUGUUUUGAGACUACUCUAUUGAAACAACCUCAUAAAUUAGUCCUCAGAAGUGCCCAUUACAAACACUGAAGUAAGAGCUCCGGUAGUGCAAGGAGAGCUGGAUCCUCCUCCCCGCUGUGUGCUCCGGGUGGGUCAGAGGAGUGAGGCGGCCGAGCCUCUCCCGAGUGGGCUGAGCAGUGGAAAAAGAGCAGCGGGAUGUUGGCUGGUGCUGGCUGGCAGGAGGACGGGCUGGCGGCUUUUUCCGCUCCAGAUGUAAAUAUUCAUCACCUCUCAGCCUGCAGCUCGGGCUGACUGCGGAGCGGCGCUGUGCGGGAACGUUCCACGCGCGGUGCCAGCGCACAGACGCUCGCUCGCUGCCGCGGGGAGCGCGGUGCCAGCGUGCCCGGAGCGGGGCCCCGCCGGCCCUCGCCAUCCCCUCCGCGGGGCCCCGGCACGGCGUUCGGGGCCGCGCUCCCGGCACCGCCGCCCUGCCGCGGUGCCGGCGGUUCCGCCACAGCCCGGUCCCGGAGCGCCGCUCCCGCUCGGACGGCGCGGCCCCGGUGCCGGUGGUGCCGGUGCUCGUGGCGCCGCGGGCCCGCCCCGCUCACCUGGCCCGGGCGGGCGGGCGCGGGGGCCGGGCCGGGCCGUGCCGAGGGGGCCGGCGCUCGCCCGGCGGGGCCAAUCGGCGCCCGGCCCUGUUGCUAUGCGCGCCCCUACUCUGCCUCCUUUGUGGAGGAUGCCGCGGGCACCCACCCACCCGCGCCGGCGCUGCGGGGCUCGCUGCGGGAGCGCCGGGCCGCGCGGAGAAGAUACUUUGGAUGAAUACUUUGAGUACGAAGCUGAGGAGUUCCUGGUCUCCUUGGCCCUGCUGAUCACUGAGGGUCGGACACCAGAGUACUCCAUCAAGGGCAGGACAGAGGGCUUUCACUGCCCUCCAGCACAGUCAAGUCAGCCACCAACAACUAAGCAUGAAUGCAGCGACAAACUGGCUCAGUGUCGUCAGGCCAGGCGAACCAGAUCUGAGGUUAUGCUUCUGUGGAAGAACAAUAUUCCAAUCAUGGUAGAAGUGAUGCUACUUCCAGACUGUUGCUAUAGUGAUGAAGGGCCCACCACAGAGGGGAAUGAUUUAAAUGAUCCUGCAAUCAAACAAGAUGCAUUGCUGUUAGAAAGGUGGAUUUUGGAGCCAGUUCCUCGACAGAGUGGAGAUCGAUUUAUUGAAGAGAAGACCCUUUUACUGGCUGUUCGCUCCUUUGUUUUCUUCUCUCAGCUGAGUGCCUGGCUGAGUGUUUCACAUGGUGCUGUUCCCCGAAACAUCCUGUACAGGGUGAGCGCUGCAGAUGUGGACUUGCAAUGGACGUUCUCCCAGACACCCACUGAGCAUGUCUUUCCUGUUCCUAAUGUUUCUCACAAUGUGGCCUUGAGGGUCAGCGUUCAGUCCUUGCCCAGGCAAUCCAACUACCCAGUUUUGACCUGUAGUAUUCACACCAACCUUAGCUUUUAUGAAAAGCAAAUGCAAGAGCGUAAGUUCCAUCAGCGCAGCGAUCCCAGUGCUGCUCAGCAAUGCAGUACUUCCAGUCCCCUGCGUUUUCGUGGGAAACAGACAUGGACAAUGACACCUGAAGGCCUACUUAAUGGAAAAAAGAUGCCUGAAUUUACUACAUCUUUUAGAAAUUUAAAACUUUAUCCAUCUACCAGACUUGGAUCUGACUUUGGGGCAUCACAGUCUAAAGUUCAGUGCUAUAAUGCCACAGCAGACAAUAAGGCACAGUCUUGUGAAACACCAGUCAGAACUUUUAAAUCCUACUCUCUGGUUGAUUCCCGUGUUUCAAAUAGUCAUUGCUCUCAUCAGCCCACAGGAGAACCCAAUCCUUUGAUAGGCUCUUUACUUCAAGAGCGACAAGAAGUCAUUGCAAGGAUCGCCCAGCACUUGAUUCACUGUGAUCCAGCUACUUCACCAGUUGUUGCUGGGCGUCCAUUCACCACACAUGAAAACAUCUCGGCUACACCAAAAGCUUUUCGGAGCACUUUUGAAGAGGAAAACUUGCCAAGGAAAAGCAAGGAAAGCUCCCCUGUUCCUGCUGCCAACUUAGACAAUGCAAUACAGGAAGAUGGUGAUGAAGGCAAAACUAGAGCAGUGCCAGAGGUCACCCUGCUGGAUGCCCGUGUUCCAGGGAACCACUGUGGCCGUCAGUUGGCAGGGGAGGGUAACCCCCUGAUUGAUUCCCUGCUCCAGGAGCGGCAGGAGGUGAUAGCAAGGAUUGCCCAGCAUUUGAUUCAUUGUGAUCCAGCUACUUCCCACGUUGCUGGACAUCCACUCAAAGUGCAUGAGGCUAGUCCAGUCACGUCAAAAAUUUUCCGAAGUACAUAUGAAGAUGAAAAUUUGCUGAAGAAAGGCAAGGAGCCGUCUUCUGUUUCUUCUGCUAAGUCAAAAUUUUCUUUGUUAGAAGACAGCAGUAAAUCAGGGACAAAGACACCUGAUACUCCUAUCAGUCCUUCUAGGUUUGAUGGGGAAUUGAAGACUUCUCUGAAAGUCCAAGCAAGAAGAAAAUUGGUUUUAGCAAAACCCAGUGAAGCUGUCCAAAAUUCAUUUCAUCAGACUUCAAAUAAAACUUCUCAUGCAUUUAGUAGCAUUCACAUAUCAUCAUCGUGUAUUAAAGAAAACAAAUCUGAAAUUCCAGAUAAAUUGGAAAUACAUUCUGGUUAUGCACAGAAAGACCAGAUAACCAAUAGAAUUAAACAGGGUUCAAAUUCCAGCAGCAUUGAUGAACAGAUUUGCACAAAUAAACUUAAAGAAAGAACAGUUGUUAGUGAGAACAAUGGCACAGACAGUUUUAAUAAUUUACAGAUAGAAAAAUGCAGAAUACUUGAAGGUACAAAAAAAGCAACUGUGAUACCAGUAGCUGACUCUUUGCACAAAAAUGAGCUCAAGUGUUUAGACAGAGACUCCAAAAAACCAAUUAUUUAUGAGCAAAAUACACAACUUAUUAGUAUUGAAAAUUAUUUAAAUAAAGACCAUGACAGUUUCAAAACCAAAACCAAACAAGAUAAAACAAAAACUGCACAUGAUGAGAAUGAAGACCCAACAGGCCUCGAUUUUCAAAGCACUUCUCAGAAGAAACCUGCAGAAGACAAUGUGGUUAAGUGUGAGCGGCAGAAGAACCCAGAUGUACAGAAAGCACCGCCUCUAAAACACACAACUACGUGGCGGAAACACAAUUUUCGAUCCCUGGAUGGAACUUCAACCAAGGCUUUUCAUCCCAGAACUGGACUGCCUCUGCUUUCGAGUCCUGUUCCUCAAAGGAAAACACAGUCUGGGUGCUUUGAUCUGGAUUCAUCAUUGUUGAAAUGUCUGUCUGCAAGAAGCCCACAACAAUGUAUAAACAAAGACGAUGAUCCAGACAGCCAUGGGAAACCAUUUCUAAGUUCUAGUGCUCCCCCAGUAACAAGUCUGAGCCUUCUGGGAAACUUUGAGGAAUCUGUCCUGAAUUUCCGCUUGGACCCGCUCGGUGUCGUGGAGGGUUUCACAGCAGAGGUGGGAGCAAGUGGAGUCUUUUGUCCCACGCACAUGACUCUGCCAGUUGAAGUGUCAUUCUACAGCGUUUCAGAUGACAAUGCUCCCUCUCCUUACAUGGUAAAUGUGUGGUUGGAUUUAUUUUAAAUAAGUUCUGAUAUGUGGAGGUGAAGAGCAAGAGCUUGGGUGUAAUUACUUUAGAGUCCCUUGGUAAAAGGGGUUAUCGGGUACCGCCUUCAGGAACAAUACAAGUGACCUUAUUUAACCCUAACAAAACUGUGGUGAAGAUGUUUGUGGUGAUCUAUGACUUGAGAGAAAUGCCAGCUAAUCAUCAAACAUUCCUACGGCAAAGAACUUUUUCUGUUCCUGUGAGACGAGAAAUGAAGCGAACUGUCAAUAAAGAAAACAGUCACCAGACUGAAGAAAGGCUACUACGCUACCUCAUACAUCUGAGGUUCCAGAGUUCUAAAUCUGGAAAGAUCUACCUCCACAGAGAUGUAAGGCUCCUAUUCUCUCGGAAAUCCAUGGAAGUUGAUAGCGGCGCUGCAUAUGAACUCAAAUCUUACACUGAAUCUCCAACAAAUCCUCAGUUUUCACCAAGAUGCUAGCAAACAAUGGCAAACUCAAGUAUUCAUUUUAUUGUUGAGUACACCUUGCAAGCAAAGAUUGGUAUAGACAACAGUAUAAAGUAAAGUCUGUAAAGGAAUAAAAAUAGCGCUCAAGAGAAAGAAGGUUCUGUGUGAUCCUGGACCAGUUUUUAAAAGGCUUCUGGAAUGAGCUUUGUGUAUUCCAAGUAGACUGGAAACAUACUUAAAUCUAAUCUUUUUGUACUGUUUAAAACCACUUCAUUGGAUGUGUUGCAAUAGCAAAUUCCCAAGUUAGUUUAGUGUUUACACUUUUUAUUUUAUUUUUCAGUUAUUUAAUAUUUAAUGUUUCAUUUAAUACUCAAGUGAUGUUUGUCUUUAGUGUUCUAAUGUAGCAUAAAUCCUAUGUAAAAUCAUACUAUGUAUUUUUGGCAUUAAUAUUGAAAUCUGAAAUAUAUACAGAUGUCUUUAAUCUGUGUGCUGUUUUAAGUGAUAUUCAUUUAAGUUAUUGAAAAUGGGGACAACAGGUGAAUUUCCAUAACAUUUCAUACUAUGCAAGCAUUUAGCUCUUUUUUCUCUUGAAUGGUACCGUUUUCCAUUUUUUCUUGCAUCCAGAUUUAAUAACACUUGCAACCACACUGCAGAUUGUUUAUUUACUUACUCAUUCAUUCAGAUCAUUAAUUCAAUUCACAUUUUGCUCCCUCAAUUUCUUUUCUUUCCUUAAGGGCCAUUUGAAUUUUGCUUUCUGUUAUUAGUUUUCCUCGCAUAAAAUUGCACCCUCCCCCAUUUUAUUUCUCAAAUUGUGUUAAAGGAUGUACUGUGCAAACAAAUUAGUAUUUAUAUCUCAAAUAUAUGCAAAAGCUAUAAAACUUGUACUUUUGGUUUUAUUUUUAGAUGAGAGGAUCUUCAUGUAAUCCUAAAUAUUUUUCAUAGGUCAAUUCCAUGUAGGCCACUAGGUGGCCAUAGGAGGUUUUACUAGCAAUGCUACACUGGGCAUAUGACUAUUUUCCAAUACGUGUGUGUAUUCCUACAACAAAACAGUCAGAUGAACAGUUUAUGCUAAGUGUUAAACUGUGUAACUGAGAGAAAUAAAGCUAGAAGCAUUUGAUUAUAUUUGAGCUAUAUAUUUAAUAAUGGAAAUGAAGCGUUAUGACAUUUGAUGAA